RNAcentral lists this long non-coding RNA (28253 nucleotides) under Brachypodium distachyon (stiff brome). RNAcentral's name for it is "long non-coding RNA (BDIS_LNC000982)". Lineage: Eukaryota; Viridiplantae; Streptophyta; Magnoliopsida; Poales; Poaceae. The record is from RNAcentral.
CCUCCGCCAGCUCCAGGACCUCGACGUCACCUGCGCGCUCCAGUCCGACCUCGUCAAGCUCGCCUACUCCUUCGACCGCCUCAAGCCGCCCUCCAACCCCGCCGGCGUCCCCGUCGCCCGCUCCUCCUCCUUCUCCGUCGCCUUCCGCGUCUCCGAGCCCGGCCAGUACACGCUCGUCUUCGCCAACUGCCUCAACGGCGGGGACCUCAAGAUCUCCAUGGACGUCAGCUCCGCCAUGUACAACGUCGACCCGGCCACCGGCCAGCGCGCCUACCUCUCCGUCGGCGCCGCCGCUCUGCCCUCCAUCUACUUCCUCUUCUGCCUCGCCUACGCCGCGCUUGUGGCCGCCUGGGUCUCCAUACUGCUGCGGAAGCGCGCCGCCGUGUUCCGGAUCCACUACUUCAUGCUCGCCGUGCUCGUGCUCAAGGGCUUCAACCUCCUCGCGGAGGCCGAGGACAAGUCCUACAUCGAGCGCACCGGCACCGCGCACGGCUGGGACGUGCUCUUCUACAUCUUCAGCUUCCUCAGGGGGAUCUCGCUCUUCACGCUCAUAGUGCUCAUCGGCACCGGCUGGUCCUUCCUCAAGCCCUACCUGGCCGACCGAGAGAAGAAGGUGCUCAUGGUGGUCAUCCCCCUGCAGGUUGUGGCCAACAUUGCACAGGUCGUGAUCGAUGAAUCUGGGCCGUAUGCCCGAGACUGGGUCACCUGGAGGCAGGUGUUCCUGCUGGUGGAUGUUGUCUGCUGCUGUGCCGUGCUCUUCCCGAUCGUGUGGUCCAUCAAGAACCUCCGAGAGGCUGCCCGCUCUGAUGGGAAAGCGGCGGUGAACCUCAUGAAGCUCACCCUCUUCCGCCAGUACUACGUGGUUGUCAUUUGCUACAUUUACUUCACACGAGUUGUCGUGUAUGCGCUGGUGACCAUCACCUCAUACCGGUAUCUCUGGACUAGCGACAUGGCUAGGGAGGUUGCCACCCUAGCGUUCUACAUGUUCACCGGUUACAGGUUCCGGCCUGAGGUGCAUAACCCAUACUUUGCGAUUGACGACGAAGAGGAGGAGGCUGCUGCUGAGGCACUCAAAUUGGAUGAUGAAUUUGAGCUAUGAGUGCUGUCAAUUGGUGGCCUUUUUCCUUCACAGUGGCUAUACGGGUGUUAUAUGUGCUUCCACAGGACAAACGCUUUCGACAAGACAAAUGUGAUAGACUGGUAUCCAUAUCCUUUUGUUUUUCAUUUCAACUUAGUUACAUUUUGUCCUAGUGUAAUUUGGUACCGACGACCCUGUGUGUGUGUGAAGCAAGGCAACAGCUUGAUUGUACCUAAACUUAAUCUACAAUUGUUGAGAUGAGAUGUUCUUCAUUGUACCUCUGUAGCUACUGUUGUAUCUAGAUGUUUACUCUGUGUACUUGGUAAAAGAAGUUGACUAUCAUUCAGUUUGUUGAUUCAUAUGAUGCUAAUUGUAGCUCUUUGUUCCCACUUAUUCUACAUUACCUGUAUACCAGUCCUGCUGCUCUCUUUUCCUGUAGGAUCCUUUUGUCUUAGAAUAGGGAAACAAAGUUUAAUAUAAUGGACUCGGUAGUUGGGGACAUAUUUUCAAAGUUCAACACAAAAACUAAAGGCUGAAACCUAGAGCACUAUAUUAAGUUGCAAAUGUUGUUUGUAAUUUGGACAGUUCCUACCUAACUGGUUUCAUUUAUAAGCUUCACCGUGAUGCUUGAAUUCCACCUCUAAAUUCAGUACCCUGCCUAGUUAGAGUACAUCUGCACUUUGGCAUUUUGUGGUUUGGCUUUGCCAACUAGGACCCUCAUGAAGAUACAUCAGCAAACAAACAAACAAAAAUGACCCACCAAAUAUGUAAUUUAACUUCUGUUAGGAGAUUUUGACAUUUCAAUUUGCACUUAUUUAGUUAUUCUACAGUUUGCCAUAGUCAAAAUACUUGGAACAGUUGUGCUGGGUUAAGCUGGAAGUACUAUAGUAGUAUACUUGCACCUUUACCAGUCUUGGGUUUUAUCAUUAUUGAAAGUUAAGCUGGGAUAUGGCCAAUCGGGGGUCUGACGUCAUGCUACAACCCAUUGCAGCGUUGAUUUUUCUACCCUUUGGCUAUUUCUCUAUGGCAAUCAUAUUGUGCUACAUCUGAUUGCAGAGUUGAUUUUUCAACUCGUUGGCUAUUCUCUUUGGUCCUUCUGUUAGUUAAUUUAUAAGCUGAUAGCUCGAUAAGUAGCAGUGGAGGCAUAGAUUUUUGUUCCACUGAGAGAGAGUGGGAAGUUGUAUUUAUGUUUGAGUAUAUUUGCUGGAUGUAUUUUUUUCAGGAUGAUUUACAGGUGUAUUACUUGACAAUGGUAGUCAAAGAUGCUUAGUCUUAUCUUAAGUCUUAACUGAAUCAUCUUUUUUACACAGUUUUCCUCUUUUUUUUGAAUGAUAUGUCUUUUGCAUCUUCCAGAUUGUGGUGUUCUGAUAUCUUUGAAAUUGUUCCUAAUUUGGUCUUCGAAAAUGAGCAUGUGAUUUCAAAAUUUGAUAUCCUGGAACAUGAUUUACGUCAUUUAGAAUGUUGUCGGCUUUGUUCUCUGACUAGAACACCAAAAUGUCUUCCUCACCAGAGAUCUUUGCUGUGUAUAUUCUUUUUAUUGAAAUCGAGUUUGAUAGUUGUAUUUAAAAUUUACGAGACUUGGCAUCGCCUGUUACUUCUUUUUAGAAUAGGCAUCUUUACUUGGUCAGUGAAACUAGGUUCUACAAGGGCACUUGAUUCCUUUUAGGAUUUAAUGGGCCUGGACCUAGUGAAGUGUUAGCUUGGGCUUUGUUGUUGGAUCCUGAUAUUGUCAUAGCCCAAGCUUGUUCCUGGUGGUGUAGUUUCAGAUCUGUCAUUAACUUGUCCCUAAGCAUGAUAGAGAAGAUAUAAGAAAUUUCAUUUGUAGACUUACUUCUGUAUUUUGCUUCUGUUGAGGGUGAACUGAACCGCGAGCCUAGAUUCUAGAAGUCUCCUUAAUGUAACCACAAAAUUACUUGCUUCGCUGGGCGUGACUGAAAAGUGUAUGUAUCCGUGUAUGGCUGAAAAUUAAAUUUACAGUUUUGACUGCUAUUAAUAAAAUAUGUUUGUUGGGUGCCCAAAAGUUAGCAACAUUGCUUUGGAUCUACAAUGGAGGCCAUAGAAAGUGAAGUAGACUUAAGGUACUGCCAAACUGAAAGUCAGAGAUGCAUUGGGGCCAUUUAAAUAGUUUUUGAAUGCACAUGUUCAACACCUUGAGUUUUGCAAAAGAAAGCGUUAUAAUGUUUUGAAAAGGUGCUGGUUCUAUCUCAGCCAAUUAUUGUAGAGAUGCUUCUUCUCGUGUUGAAAUUCUGUUGGCAAGUAAUUUGUGGUUUCUAUGUGCUGUGGUGAGACUUGGUGUGUGACUAGCAUUGCUGUUAUGUACCUGAAAUUUAUAUGGAUUUCCACCCUAACUUUGGGGAGGGAACAGCGUCUCUAUCGUGCUUGUUAGGGUAAACCUUACUGAAUCUUGAUUAUAAUAAAAGGUUCGUUAUGCCGUGUUACAGGUGGUUCCUAAACGGUGGAAGCACUGAGCUUUGAUCAAUAACAAGGUGGAGCAACUUUUCAUCAAGUGGAUGGAGCUAUGUGUGGUAAAGCCUCAGCUAUAGUUCGCCUAGUAAAUGUUCUCCUUUUGGUUGAGUUAACAUCAGAUCUUUAGGGAAGGCACUCCCUUCCUGUUAGUGCCUAGAGCUGAUUUGAUUUGGUGUUGAAAACUGCAUGCUUCCUUAUCGUGAAGAACCAUGUUGCUAAAACAAACAAAGUUUGUUAUUCCUCUGUGGUGCUGUGGGCACUCUCUAGUCACUAGCUGUUGCCGGCUUGGUCAUACAUGCUACACACAUGGACAAAUUUUUAUCCUGGUAUGGGCUCUCUUUUUACCUUUUCUGUAUGCUAUUAUGCUACUGCUUAGCUAGGGCAAGAUUGCAUGCAUCGUCUCCAUGAAUGACUUUGGUGGCCAGUCACAAUCUAAUUCCCAGAUGGUGCCUGCCUUGAUUUGCACUUGUUGGCCUGUUUUCCCAAUCCUCUGCCUCUGCAUCUGCACUGGGAGUUGUAGUUGGUCUGAUGUGCCCUGAGCUGCAAGUUGGACAGUCUUGUGAGUUGUGAGCCUGCACGUAGGCUGCCGCUGAUGCAACCUGCUGCCACUUUGCUUGCUCUCUGGGCUGAUGCCCACUACACGAGCCAAAGCAAAGGAGGAAGUGCCAUGCAUGCAAGCUGUCUAAUUCAUGGGAAGAAAAGUGACGCAUACAUUUCUUCCUAUGCAACUUUUUUGCAUGUGAUGGAAGGAAACAGAGAUAUUGAGAUAGCGCUGCGGCGUUCCAGAACCUGAAUCUCCCAGGUGUGCUGACUAUGACUUGAGCAGUUUGAUUAGAAGACUAGUAUUGAACUACUGAUGCACUUGUCGAUUAGGAUGAAAACAUGUUACUUUUCCAAUAAAAAAGCAUGUCAGUUUUGUUAUCUGGAUGACAUGUAAGUUUAUUUGUAGACUAAUCUUCUCAUUACCUCUAUUAACUUUGCUUGUUUUUGAAGCCAGAUGCUAGUGGAGUUGAAGUUUUUCCUGUUGACUUUCCACACGUAGAACAACAGAGCGCCCAGGUUUUCUGCAGCAUGUCAGGUGUAGGCCUAAUCGCACCACAACACCAAACAAUUUAGAUUUACAGUUUUUGUCAGUUUCAUCUGUCCAUUGUCAUAACCAUGAAAAGGAGAUGCAUGUAUGCAGGAAGCUGCCUGAGCUAGCUAGACCUGAGCAGGACGACACUACAGAUAACAUUUGAACUGAAGCUUCAGGCUCAAAUGUUUCCCAGAUCUGGGGCGACCAUGAAUGCCAGAUGGAGACCAUCGGCAUGGCUCCUAAUCUUCUUGCUCAUAUUCGGUAUGGCUGUACUGGUUGUUUGGUGAGAUGAGUCCAAAAGGAGCUUCGAAAUAACCGAGCAGGAUGAGAGAAUUGACGGUUCAGACCAGUGAUCUUUGCUUCUUCUGUGUCCAGCCAAGCUACUGAGCACGCCAAGCAGAUGCAUGCAGGUAACCUCCUUUCAGAAGAACUAAAACAGCAACAACUCCAGGUACUCUAACCUGUGUAACUAUGAUCUAAUAAUAAGCACCAUUUUCCUUGCUGAAAUCCUGCACUUAUCCUACUGCAGCGGUGCACACUUGAUUUUCUGGCAGUGGCGAGCGUUAGGUGCUGUGGCGAGCAGAGCAAAGAGGGAAGGUGAUUCUGAUGCCCAGCUAGAAUCCUAGUACUAAUCUUCUAGUUUCUUACUGGCGUGAUGGGGUGUUAGGUUAGGUGCUGGUAAUGCAGAUUAGAUGCCGGAUCUCCGACGGCAAUGGCAACGGCGAUGGAUCAUGAUUGAGCCGCUGACCUCUAACAUUGCAAUGCAAAGCCGGGUUUGGAGUGGAUGGAUAGAGAAUCCUCGCCUUUUCCACCUUUGCCAUGCACGAGUUAGGCCGUUAGCGCGCAUGAUCAUGCCUCGUAGGCCAUGCACGCCGGCCCAAGCGUGGCAUGAUGCCAUCCUGAUGGCAAAACUUUGUCACAACUCCACGAGCCGACUAAAUCUGAUAUAACUAGAGUUAGUGAAAACUCGUGUGGUCUGUUUCUUUAAGUUGCUGUUGUUGUUUGUAUGUUGGUCGUGUUGUUUUUGGUGCAUAAAGUAGAGAUUUGAAGCUUUUGUUUUGGGCUAAGAAUGCCAGUCAAAACGGCAAGUACGAACAAAAGAAAUAAAUACUAGUUCCUCUAACAAAAGGAGAGCAAAUAAGUACUAACAAAAGGAGUACCUAAUAUUGGAUGCAUGGUAAUCAUCGCAUGGAGAUGGAAUGGAACUAUUUGAAGAGACAGUACGUACUGCAGUUUAUAAGUUCAAUAUAUGCUUUAAGAUGGUCGAUCUUCCCAGCUCAAACUACUCGAUUGAAGUACCCCACGGAAUAUAUAGCUUAAGAGGUCAAUCUAGCAGAUACGGCUUUAAUUAUGAUCACAAAAAUUCAGUGAACUGAUCAACUCUGAAUUGGAGAUACGCCUUUUUCCCCGCAAAAAAAAAAACUCUGAAUUGGAGAUGCUAGAAAAAUUAUAUGAACUGAUCAACUCUGAAUUGUUGCUUUAAAAAAAUCAACUCUGAAUUGGGGAAGAAAAAUCUGCCACUGGAAAGUGCGGACUUAAUUGUACGAAGUGGAGCAGACCUUUAUUUUUAAUCUCACCCAAGUUCAUUACAUUACAAUAUAUAUAAAAGCAAAUCCCUACGGCUUUGGAGCAAGCCAUGGCUCAUGCAUGCAUGCAAAAGUUAAUUAAAAAUGAAGCAAAGCAUGCAGCAUAACACCACCACGCACACAAAACUGCAAAAGAAACACCAAAACCAUACUAUCCAUAGCCUGAUAGCUAGAGCGCCAGUUAGUGUUGUCUCGUGCGAAGUCCAAAUCAGCUCUCCGGACCUCCCCACUUCCGUGAGGGAACAGAAAGGAGGACAAAAAGACGAGCAAGGAAUUAGAGGACAGCAACGGCACUUUGCACUGUUGUUCACAAUUUUGCACGUACGUACGUCGUUAGUCUUUGCCGACGAUCAGAUAUGAGGUUCCCUUUGAUAUCAUUUGCCUCAUCCCAAACUCCACCAAGAAAUCAAUACAUGCUACCUGCUCCAAUGCCCAUCCGAUCAGUAUCUCGGUGAAAAUAAAAGCUGGUUGUUAUUACGUUGUACUGUCACUGUGAGCUAGCUGUGGCCCGGGGUACGUGUCUCCUGCUACGUGGAACAACGGGACCGAUACAUUCGUGUACGUUGGCGUCGGAAAGGCGGUGUUGACAUGCGACAUGCAUGGAGAACGAUCAACAAAUUAAGCCCACUCACACUGAGGCCAACAAUCAACAACAACAAGUACUCACGAAGAAGAAUAACCCCAUUGAUUAAACUAGGAUCAUGUAAAUAUAUUCGUACGUAUCAAUCACCCCGGUUGAUAUCUUGUCGUUGCUACGUCCUUCCUUCCAUCCGGUCAAUCGACCAGUUAAUAAUCACUCGAGACCGGCCGAAUCGACCCCGGCCACCGCGCAUGAUUACCCACGGAGAAGUUCAUUACCGAGCAGCCGGCCAUGAUUAAUUAAAGUUAUCAAUUAUGCACUACGUACUACCCGCCAUUACUACGAGAGCUAUAGCUUAAUUAGCUAGCUCUAGAAAGCUAUAAUUGCGCGCGCUCUACAAGUGUGCACGAUAUCUAUCUCCACUAACCCAAAGAGCCGGAGCCGAUCGAGGCCGAGAGCGAGAGAUCAUGAUAGCAUUCUCUUCCAUGCAUAUAUGUUCAUUCGUGUGUGUGACAAUUCAGUUUUAACGGUGCCCGCACUAGCUAGCCCAAGUAGCCAGCCUGCAUGAUCAGUGAUUCACUUGAAUUAAUUUUACUGGUGCUGGGCGUCUAGAAGAAGCAUGCAAGCAAGCAAGCUAGAGCCAGAGCGCGCGUGUAGCCGACGGGCAUCUGGAGACGCACCAGGCUGUACAAAUACACAAUCAAUCAACAAACGGAGGUAAUCUGAUCUGAUUGAUAUAUGAUCGCGGCCGCGUGCGCAUGUUGUUGUUUGUUGUUGGCGAAAGGAAAUAAAGAGAAAUAUUCCUCCUGCUUUGGCUUAGUAGCCCCGUUGGGUCCGGCAGCCGUGGGCGUGUUACGCGCUGACGCGGCGGACAAAUAUACCCUGCUGCCGUGACCACGAUGGAUAUGUAAAGCUCGUGUUUGGUCGCUAGCAGCGUGGCCAGCUGCUGCAUCCCCAGCGUGCACUAGUGCCCAUCGAAUCUAUGAGCCAGGACCCGGCUAAUACUACCAGAUCCAUCGUCGUCCCGGCCCGUACGUUGAGUCUAUCUAAUCUACCUGGUCGAGCCGCUGCCAGAUCAAUGCGUAUGUACACCUUUGGCUUUGUGUGUUUGCGUUCCAGCUAGCUAAGCUGAUGAUGAUGCCGUCGGUAAGUAAAAUAAAAUCGCCGCUGGAUUUGAUCGAUGGAACAUGGAUGGAUCGAUCUCCGUCACCCAACGCGACGUAUAUACCGCGGCGGCUUUAUUCGGAAGCUGCUGGCUGCCCUGUGUUUCAACGACAUUCGACAAAGCUAGCUAGCUAGGGUAUGCACAAUGAUGCUCUUUUUAGGUCCAGCUAGUGUGUGUGUGUGUGUGGAAUAUAUGCUCUUUGCAGAGAUCUGAUCAACGCUACUGUCCAAAAUUGCGUGACACCGAUGGAGGCGUCAUGUGUAUUUAAAAUGACGAUUCAAUAAACCGUACUGUCUAAAUUGUUUAUGAGAUGCCGGUCACAAAAGAAUCCCAUUAACAAAUACAUAUAUGCAAGGAAAGAAUAUUUAUUUGUUUUCGAAAUAAAUUGGUAUUUGAAAAAUAUCCAUCAAACAUGCAAGCAGUUUUGUAUGCAUGCAGUAGCUAGCUACUGCGGCCGAGGACUGAUCGAGAUUCUGGUAUUCUACGGAUGCUGAAAUACGCACAUGCAUUACGCAACACACAGGGUCACAUGUCGCAAAUUAAUUAAAUACGCGCAAAGUAAUGCAUAUAUACUUGCGUACGUACACAUCAACCAUGUGUACAUGUACGUGCCGACUACGUAAACCGCGGUCCAAAAUCCCGUCGGUCCCUGAUUGAUCCACGUAACUGCAAUCGAUCUGACCAGCAAAUAUCUUGUAAAUAAUUAAUUAUACUCUGCAAAUUAAGGUCAAAAGCCGUACCCCUUUCGGGUCACUCGACGGUCGAUCGAGCAGAUCGUCCACCGUCCGGCCGGCCGCCGGUUGAAAUGUUGAAUCAUACAUAUCGAUCGCCCCCCUCUAAUUAAGCUGCCCCGGCCUACCUCCUUUAAUUAGUUUCUGGUUUAAAGGAAAAGGUAGAGCUGCCGUGCGUCAAAUCGAGCGAUCAUUAAUUUCUGGUAAAACUUAAGCUAAUCAUGCACACCCCACCACAACGGCCAGAUUAAGAGCACGAGCUAGCUAUAUAUGUAUCGACACGUACGUACCAUUUGAAUCGAUCAAUUAUUAGUCCGGAUUAAAUUGUAGUCGUAACUCUAUACGUCCAACGAUCGAUCUCUAUGUACCUCCUGUCGAUCGAUAAUUAAUCGUCGUUGGCUGCUUCCCCGUCGCCCUUCACGCGAUCCAUCAUCCAUCGACCCAAAGUCGCCCGCCAGACUCACUCAACGUACGAUUGGAUUGGAUUGGAUUGGAUCGAUUUGAUAUGUUUUGUGUUUAAUUAAUUAGACAGUACUAGGGGAGUACUGUAUGUAUGGACAUGCAAUUAAUGGGUCAAGCAAAAAGCAUGAUACUCCUGAACAGAUCGAGAGCAGUAGUAAGAGUAGCAAAUUAAGAACCUUUUCUUUUCGGAGCUGUAACAAGUUUAGAACUGGCUGGCGACAGUUUGUGGUGUGUGUAGGGCCGUUGUGAGGCGAGUGGCACGACACAUCAACGGCAGACUGGCCAUUAACGGGUCGACACAACUCGGGGUUUACCGUCGGUCGUACUAGCUAGCUGACAUGCCAUGCCGUGACAGCGUGAUUAAUCUCUUUGAUUAAUUGUUAAUUCGCUAUGUAUAGAUAGUUUGGUGCAUGCAUGUGCAUUAUCAUAUAGUAGCCAGUUAAUUAGGCUAGCUAAGAAGCUAGUACAGUAAGAUGUAGGACGACGAUGUUGGCCGGAUUAUGGAAGGGCUAUAGCUAGAGAGAGAGGCUGCAGGCUUCCCCAAGAAGAACCCAUGCAUUCAUUCAUGCGUGCAAUCAACUUGCCGACCGAUCUGUAGCUAGCUAGCUAGCUCCAGUAGUAGCAGAGCGUCAUUACUGCUUCAUCAGUACAGUUUGACUUGUAGUAACCGCAAAAGAUCGAAAGAAAUGAACCGAAAAGGUAAUGUUUGACAUGCGAGUCAAAACCCGCGUACGACACCCAGCUAGCACAGAAAAAUCGACCGGCCGAGUGAGGAACCACGUGGCCGGCUCCAAAUCGACGUGGAUGGAGCAAGGCGCACACGUACAGCUUAGCUUAGCUAAAGCUCGCUAGCAGCCUAGCACACGUACGGGCACGGCAGACAGCAUGUUGCCACGGCAGGAAAGGGAUCGAAAGUAAUUAAUCACGGUAAGCAGCGGUACAUAGCUACUCUUUUCGUUUCAUAUUAACUGAUUCAAACUUGUUCAAAUGUACGUGUGUGUAUAUAUCUAAAACAACGUCUACAUACAUACAUGUAAUAUAAAAUCGCUGAAUAUGGGACGGAGGAGGUACAAUUUAAUUAGCCGACAACAGCAACAAGUCCGCUGGAUCAUAUCUCGAUCGUGUUGGCCUCCGCGGCCGCGCGUACGUUUUUGCCGACCGCGGCAAAUUAAAGCUCGGAAUUCGCAUGCAGCGCAGCGACGACUUUGGACUAUUUGGACUUUGGAUAUGCGGCAGAACUCCUGCAGAGACGUACACGUACGGGGCCGCAACCGCAACGGCCGAGACGAGACGGUGCAGCUAGCUAGCAGCCAGGAGGAAGUCGAACGGAAAUUGCCGGGCUAUAUAGCAGCAGUACUACAUGUGCAUGGGGGUCCUGGCUGUGAGCCUGUGACCCUGUCCGGUCCGGGUUCGAUCGAGCCGGCCUAGCUACCUAGCAAAAACACCUUUAACAAAACUAAAAAUUGCAUCAGCUGAAGAUCUUUAAGCAUCUAACUUUAAUAAAAGGCAGAAUAAUUAAGCUGAAACGAAAUCAAUAAUUAAAAUACUCACUAAAAACUAUUCUCUCAAGAAUAAUGAAACGGAGGAUUAAAACUACAUCGAGAGAAAUCUACACAGCUAACAUGCACACAAGGCUGGUACGUCAUGCUGUAAUUCCACGAGCCUCGCUGGGUUCUUAUUGAACGCACGUGUGUGUGUGUGAAGUGAGCUAGCGCCAGAUUUGAGCUUCUUAUGCAUGCCACCCGUGCUUAAUUAACUCCGGCCAACGCUCUCGACAAAAGGGAAAGUUUUCUCCUACACAAAAGGGAGAGGGGAAAGAGACCUAGAAGAGCACAAUUCCAUUAUGUAACUCUCACAAUUCAUUCCCCUUUUUUGCCCCAUCCUUUUAAAUUUGCGAAAACGAUUACCACAUUUAACAGAUUUUCCUCCCGCUUACCCUAUUUAGUGGCACGUACUCAGUAUUUUGGACGUCGAUGAGGCUCGCGACGACCUCUGUGGUGGCCAACUGUUUAAAUGGGGUAAAAUUUGGCACAAGUUUCACUAGAUCGUCUGACUAGUUAAAAGGAUAAAUAUUGUCGGGAUAAUUCACUCUCUUUUUUUAAGACCGGACAGAGUAUAUAUACAUUUAGUUGUUAUUUGGCCACACAAAUACGUCGGCAUUGCAAAGAUCUUGAAUUGGAAACGAGCCGUCAAUUCAUCGCUUAAUUGAUGUACUCUCAAAUGAUCACUGCAAAGCUAUAUAUAGCCUGUAAAAAUCAACCACAACAGUUAAUUCCGGCCACAUCAUCUCUCUUUACACAUAGGGAUCCCUUACACAUAUAGGAGUUUCUACUCAAAUUAACUUCCUUCUGCAGCUGUGGAUAAUCUUUUACAAGAAAAACGCGCAGGAAAGCAUGCAUAAUCAAAACAAAUCUUUCAAAGUAACAAUUGUGAUUUAAUUAGGUAGCAGACAUCAUGUAGCUUGAAAUAUGAAGUCAACACCCGUUGUUCUCCGACGAAGACUUUUAGCUAUCAAUUAUUUCCCAAAGAAAAACCAUUCCUACUAAUUCUAGUCCCCAUCUCGGCUUUUUUGGCUCUCCCGAUGGGAAUAAAGUUAGGAGAUGGACAAAUUUGCACACAGGAUCGAACGCUACAACUGAACUGCAAAACCAUGCACACACACACACGCCCACACACGCAUGCAUUGUUUCUUUCUUCGGAAUUCUUUAUCGUUUUCUAGAACAAGUCAAAAAAGCUUAAAUCAGCACUACUAGAACUAGUCUAGGAACUAAAUAAAAUAUCUCUUGCCCACCUAAUUUACUAUAUCGACGUGCAUAAAUAAUUUUAAAAUCAUCACACGUCGAUCCUCUUUGGUCUUCUACUGUUGCAGUGGUUGUUGCCGCGGUGGUUACGCUAGCGCUGGCCAUGCCGUGCCACCUUGAAUUUUACCUUGAUCGAUCGAAUUCCUGUGUGUGUGUAAUGUUAACGUACGUACCUUGGGCAGUAUAUGUGCGUGCGUGCAUGAUGCAGGAUCAGAUUCAGAUCAGAUUUCAGUUGUGGUUCAGUUUGGGGGAGUGCUUUUCCUGGAGAUUUUUAAGGUCGGGUGUCAUGGCCUCUCCCGAUCGGACGUUUCCCCUUCCUCGAUCGACCGGUUGAUCUCCCCUUCUCUUUAUGCGGAUGUGUAUACACUCCCAUUCCCUAUCGAGCCUAGCUAGCUCGAAUAUCAGUUUCUUCUUCUUCUUCUUCUUGCCUAGCUUGGCGCCGGUCGGCCGGCCGGGGACCACACAUGCACCCUUCUUGUUAAUUAAUUGGCGUUUCACUCUCAAGUUUGGUGGCACUUCCCUACCCUCGCGAAACUAAUCCCACUACCUAUAGCUCUUCUUGCUCUAGCUAGAGCUUAGCUAGCAGUGUCGUCGAUCGUUUAUCGAUGUUCGACGGAUGGCCGAGCAGCUAUAUAUAACCACCCUUGUCUUCCUAGCUUGUUUCCUUGUACCCCAUCACCGGCAGCUUAUUCAUUCCUACUCUCCUUCUUCAUCUAUCUUGAUCAAUGUGGAGCAUUGCAGUCCAGCUACAGUAGUAGUGCCUAGCUAGCUCCUUUCAAUUCUCAUUGUCCCUUUGUUCUCGGACGUUUGUUGGUCGUCUUUGCAGUGGUGUGUACUAGCUCGAUCGAUCAGUGAGUGUUGAAGAUGAGCAUCUCUGUGAACGGGCAGUCGGUGGUGCCGCCGGGGUUCCGGUUCCACCCGACGGAGGAGGAGCUGCUGACCUACUACCUGGCCAAGAAGGUGGCCUCAUGCCGCAUCGACCUCGACGUCAUCCCCGACGUCGACCUCAACAAGCUCGAGCCAUGGGACAUCCAAGGUACAUAAUGCUCCAUCACUAGUACUACUCUUGGAUGAUGCAUCAAUGGCGAUCAAUCGAACUAACCAUAUAUGGACCUGCGUUCCAAUUGAGCAGAGCGUUGUAGGAUCGGGACGGGCCCGCAGAGCGACUGGUACCUGUUCAGCCACAAGGACAAGAAGUACCCGACGGGGACGCGCACGAACCGCGCCACCGCCGCCGGGUUCUGGAAGGCCACGGGCCGGGACAAGCCCAUCUACUCCUCCUCCUCCGGCUCCGGCACCGGCAAGAUCGGCAUGCGCAAGACGCUCGUCUUCUACAAGGGCCGCGCCCCGCACGGUACCAAGUCCGACUGGAUCAUGCACGAGUACCGCCUCCACGACAACGCCCAAAACCACCAUUCAUCCCCCGGCGCCGCCUCCUCUUCACCGGUACGUACGCAAGUACAGUACAUGCAUACAUGGGACUGUAGUAGAGACAGUCGACAGAGGCUAGUGAAGUGAGGAAGAUUGUGUGUGUGUUUCGUCGUGUACACGUCGUGGAUCGAUCGGGGCAAUUUGGUGGGUGGUUGGGAAUGGGGCCAUGCAGCUAGCACGCAUGGUUGUUUAUUUGCGAGAGCUGGGAUUUCCUUUCGACGUCCUUGUCUGAAAAAGGGGGAAAGGGAAGUGCUGUAGCAGUGGGUAGUAGGUUCAGUACUCGUCAAGGAACAAAGCUAGCUGCUGCUGCUGGUUACUGCUAGGCUGGGCCGGGGGCAUAGACAUGAUCAUCGGUGGUUAGGUACGUGCACGGGACAGUCCUGAUAUAUGCCGGGGACUCAUGCAGGCCAAGAAUCUGCGUCUGCACCAACAAGAUCAUGCAUCGAAUUUGCACAUGCCAGAGACCGAACCCCCAUCUCGAUUAGGACACGCACACGAUCUCUUUUCUCGUACUGUACUGAUUGCGGAUAGCUACUGUACAAGCUAGUACGUAUGUGCCACUGUCGAUCACCUGCUACAAAUUAGCAAAGGAUGAGGGUUAAUUGGGGUAUAAAUUAAGUGGACCAUUGCACGCGGAGCUACUGAGCUAGAGACAGAGGCAUGUGGCAGAGAACCCAGCCUCUUUCUGCAAGUCAAACGCUACAUGGAUCCAAAGUGGAUCGGGAAUUGGCUAGCUUAGCUUUCUGAGCUGGCUCAGCUGCUACCUCGAUCAUGCAUGCAUGCAUGGUGGGAAAUUUCUCUCCUAGUAGUGGAGGGGAUGCAUGGACAUGCAUGCAUGCAAUAAUUCUGGCUAGUUUUGGAUGCUUCCUAAAUCACCUUUCACUAGGACCUUUUUUUUUUCUUCCCUCGGUCCAUUGGCAAAUAGCAAAUCCAUCGAUGGUCGAGGUAAUAAUUUUGUGAAGAGACCAGUGUAAAGCUAGCUGAGUCAUUUCAUAUCUGUUACUCAUUUACCCUUCGAUUAUUGCGUUACACACGUCCACGCCCAAAAGCUGACGCGGACAAAGGUAGCUAGCUAGGCAAGAUAUUUCAACGUCAAAUUGAUGUGCCAAUUAGUAACAUUUUUAAAUGAGAAUUAAGAAUUGCAACUUAUGUUUUUUUUUUCUCCUCUCCCUCUGAUGAACAGAUUCGUGGGGGCGACCAGUCGGCGGCGCAGCAGGAGGAAGGUUGGGUGAUCUGCAGGGUCUUCAAGAAGAAGAACCUCAUCUGCUGCAACAACAACAACAAUCAAGCUCUAGCUUCCCAUCCCCAGAUCAGCAGCAACAACAACAAGCAGCCCUCGCCGAGCCGCAGCUGUUCCGCCGUCAGCGACGACCACCACGCCGCAAGCAGGGCGGCGGCGGCGCAGAUGCUGCAUCACUACUCCGCCGGCGGCAGCGGCGACGUCGACACGCACACGCUCGACCACAUCCUCCGCUACAUGGGCAGCAACAGCGGCAAGCAGGAGAGCAAGCCGGCGCCGCUGACGUCAGCUUGCAGUUUGCCAAAUAUGGACCAGUAUAGCCUCGUCAACGGCGGCGGCGGCGGCACUCUGUACGACAAGUUCAUGAAGCUCCCGCCGCUCGAGCACGUCGUCGUCUCCGGCUCCGGCGGGGGGCUCCUGCAGCUCCCUCCGCCUACGCCGCAAGGCUCGCAGUACGGAGGCGCCGACUGCUGGGCCGACACGCUCGCGGCGUACGAGCUCAACGGCGGCCUAUCCGACAACGACGUCGACGGGUCGACCAAGACCACCAACGGCGGCAUGUCGACGCCCGGCUGCUUCUUCGUGGCCGAACAGCAUCAUCAGCACGGCCAUGGCGGCGGCGGCGACGGAGACCUGUGGAGCCUGGCGCGGUCGUCGGUGUCGACGCUGCACGCGGACUUGGCGACGGCCAUGGAUAACGUCUAGCUAGCGCGCAGCAGUCAGUUAAUUAUUAGCUCUUGUCUAGUGUGUAUUGAGAGAGUGUGAGACGUCAUAUGCCACACGCACGUACGUACAUCGAUCAAACUCUAUACGUGUAGUGUGUGCAUGCAUGCACGGUGUUCGACUGUGUACUGACGUGCGGUGAAUAAUUCCUAGGGUGAAAGACAGACAAAAACCGAUCGACGAUCGGGGUUAGCUAUUAAUGAUGUGAAACAAGAUUAAAGAUUAAUCAAACAACGGCUUGUACAUGGUAUAGUAGGAGAAGAGCAGAUAUGAAUAUACACUCUAUAAGCCACCGUUUUGCUAUUUCUAAGGUGACUAAGAAAUAAAUAUUUCUAAGUCGAUUCUAACAAACCAUAUAAUACAUUCGUUGAGAUUCUUGCAUGAACCAUCAAGUACAUAAGAUGAGAAAUCUUAAUCAGAUGACUAUGAUUAUCGACUGGGAAAUAACUAUUUCUAAGCCGACCAAGAAAUAAACACCCCCUUAUUUUAAACCAUGGUGCUUACUGUUGAUCAGCAAUAUCGAUAUUUCAAUUGUAUUUCAAAAAGCUAGGGUGAUGCAUGUUGCACCCUAGCGCGGAGGCAGGUGAGAAGAAGGAAAAAUCGACAAUGCCAAGGCCAGCAUGAUCCAUGGGGUGCUUCAUGCCUAAUUAGUAAGCACCCCGGCGACCUUAGAGGAAUGCUUGAUCAGGGCACAUUGAUGGACGAAGGUGGAAAAUCGAGUAGGGCACAGCGUUGGCAUGGGAGCAGGAGGAAGGGAAGAGACACAACGACGAUGAUCUGAAAUGAGGUAAGUAUGACACGGUGAGGAAGGAGAAAGGGUAAGCCAUGGUCGAAAAUGGCAUAUGAAUGAGCACGAAGUUUGAAAUUUCGUUUUGGACAAAAUUUUGGUACCAACCAAAGUAUUCUAAAAUUUUAGAAACACCCAGAUUCUGGAACUUUAAAUUCCACCGAAAAGCUAUCAAGGUUUUAGCAGACACAUGGAUUUGCUAAGCAUAAGUACGUGUUACACGAGCUAAUUACUGAGUUCUCAUUCAAAAAAGAAAAGGAGCAUGGACACACAAAACUUUAAACUGCAGUAUUAUUUAUUUUAUUUUAUUUUGCGAAGAAGCAGUAAAAGUUUUUUACCCAAUGGCUCAAAUUUUGGGGCCACGGAUAUGAGCAAAAUUUCGGAAAUAGCACCAAAAUUUCAUUAAAAAAUUAGACCCUCCAGAGCAUUCACGCCCUAAUCUAGCCCCUUCUUAAAAAAUUGGGGAUGAACUUUGGAUGGAUUGAGAUUGCUAAUGUGUAUAGAUCCCGAUCGUGUGUCGCGACAAGAGGGAAUUAGUUGAGAGAAGGAAGAAAGGCACAUGUCUUUUGGCGUCUCCAGCUGUUUUGUGUGUCGAUACACAUAUAUUCGGAGCUAGCAAAAGAAGGGGAGAUCGUCAGAUCGAUGUGAAGUCAGACCAUCAAGCACUGCUUUUAGCUAUAUCUAUGUAUACAUAUAUAAAUCUCGCUACCGUCGCGCGUUGAAAUAACCCCGGCCUCGUGCCACACGUACAAGUGAUCGAGCUUUUUUAUCGCCUUGUCGCGGUCAGUUGCUGGUGUAAAAAAAUCCUGCACGAUCUUGGUUUUGUCUCCUGUCGACAACUUUAGCUGCCCAGCCUUUUGUAUGUACCAAGAAUAUCGACUGAGAGCCUGUCACGUGUACCAUGCAUAAUUGCAUAUUUUUAUGUGCUCAUUUAUCGGGGUAUAUAUGUUGCUAUAAUUAAUGGCAUUUUUUUAUGCAUGCAUGGGAGAAUUUGGUGAUAGUGGCAUGCAUUUUGCUGACAUGCAUGCAUGCAUGGUGGAGUUAGUGAUGAAUUCACUGAGGAAUGAUGUAAUGAACCAUCUCUAAAAAUAACCCAGCUAAACUAAGAGCAUGUAAUUUUUAUUUUAUUUAUUUUGUCGGCGAGACAUGCGUGUAAUUAGAACUUUGGGGAGGAGUAUCGAAAUUGUAGGUAAAAGAGUGACAUAUACCAACCAAAAGGCUUGUGUUUGUAUUUUCUUUUUGCAUCGAAGAAGCUUCUUUUCAGUGGACAGACAAAGACUCCCGCCAUCAGUCCCUACAUGAUAAUUAAUUAUGAAUAUCCUCUUGCAUGUACUCUUUCCUAGAUAUUAUCUUUUUCGAGUACAUACUUCUUCGGUUUUCAAGGAAGUAUUUUGACCUAUAUAUACUUCUUCGGUUUUCAAGGAAGUAUUUUGACAAAUACUUGACCCAGCGGUCCCAGCUGGAAGGAAAAAGGUAAAAUAAAGUAAAAUAGAUCCAUUACACAUUUCGGACGAGACCAAGUUGCUGGUAAGGUGAAAACGUAUGCUGAACCUUUUUGUUAGUUUCGUGUUAGUGCUAAUCUAUCAGAGAACGAUCGAAUAGACACAUGCUGCAUCAACCACACAUGCAUGUCAUUGGAAUAUAGCUCAACCUCCGUGCUCAUAUGUAUACUACUCCGUACAAUUAUUAUUCGAAGACUUUAUUCGCAAGGUGCCAAAAGAUAAAAAAAAAACACAGCCUUAUUAACCCCUCCCUUUUUACGUUCAGCUUCAACCUUCUAAGUUCUAACGGGAAGCGCUUCCAUGCGGAUGCGGUCACUCGUCUGCGCUCACUGUAGUACAGUACAGAGUAGUAAGCACUAUUUGAACACGAGACUCUCAUAUUUUUUUUACUAGAUAGACUUUUAAAAACAAUUUUUUUUUUGCGUGAGACUUUUAAAAACAAUUUGACGAGGGGUAUCAAACAGGUUGCCAAAAACAUUUCUUUUUGAGAAACUUGGAAGGUAUAGGAAAUCUACGAUUCACAACAAUGACAACAACAAAGAUUUGGCCGUUUUCUUUUUUUUCUUUUCUUUUGUCGAGAUAGGGAUGGGCUUUGCCAGUUGCCGGGCCGACGGGCCUAGUGAGCGCUCAAAGUCGGAAACGCGCGGCGUGGGCAGGCCGCCGAGUCGCUAUGGCUUCUUCAGCCCGACCGGAACUUUAGUGUGCUUUGGGUUCCGGAGUAACGCACAAAUCGGUCUGGGGGCCCGACAAGAGAAGAGGCUCGCACUCCGACCCGCUCCCCCGCUUCCGACUCAGACACGAACACCAGCUUCUGUCCCCAACAUUAUAGAUACCGGCGUCGAUUAUGUGGUAGCAUUGUUUCGAUCUCGAUCGAGGUCUCCUCGAUCGUUCGAUCUAGCAAGGAAGGAAGCGAUCGAGAGCCCGGUCAAUUAAGCAGAUGGCCUCUUGCAUGGAGAGGUUCGUGGCCACGAUGGUCUUCUGCGAGGCGCCCUUCGACGGCCCCCUGCUGGCCCCGGCGGUGCCCGCCGCCGGCCACGACAGCAAGAGCGGCGGCAACGGCUGCUGCUCGGAGUUGGCGACUUUCAUGGCGGCGGCCAAGGAAACCGCCAGGCAGUACCUCCCUUCCAAGCAAGAGCAGCAGCAGCGGCAGGGGGGCGUGGAUGGCCUGGCGGAGUUCCUCGAUGCCGUCGUUUCGGAGUGAUUCAUCAGGAGGUUGCAGUUGCGGUUUGGGUGUCCCAACUUUUUUGUUGAUCUUUUUCUUCUUUUUUUUCUGCGAAUAACGUUUUGUUGAUCUGUAGGAACAGCUCCGCUAAAGCUUGAUUCGUACGGAGUACUAUGUGAUUUGUUUUCCUGACCAUGAACUAAGUGUAAUACAAUCGUUCCAUGUUAAGCUAGAAUUAUAUUUUCCAUGAGGUGCCAGCGUUCGUUUUAUUUAUUUUUUAGAGCAACAAUCUGGCUUUAUUGAUUCAAGAGACAAAAUAUAAAAGAUAUAUACACGAACUAACACAAAAAACGCAGAUACUCAACAAAACUAAAAACUUCAUUGCAGUCACUCGAAGUAAACUUCUCUUAAUCAAUCUUUCGCAGCUUGAUGCUUCCUCCACGUAUUCGUCGACAGAAAUGCAGAAUAUCAUUUUCUUGUAGUUCAGCUUGUUUUAGGGUGAUCUUGUUUUGGGGAAACGGGCCGCUUUUCUUCUUUUUUGAGAAACGGGGUGUUUUGUUUAUUAGCCCAUGAGCAUUAGGAGAAAAAACGACGUGUGACUUGCUGGGCCAUCCUACCCAGCCCACAUCUUGUUCGUAACCUUAUCGUCUUUUCCUAGAAGUAUUCCCCCCAAAAAAACAAUCGUCUUUUCCUGGAAGCUAUCCUAACCCGGCAACUAGAGACCAGGCCUAAUUCCGAGUUUUAUCUGAAGCCCUGCCCGUCAAUUGGGCCUGGCCCUUUAGGCCCAACGUGACAAGAAAGUAUUUGGUGACUCGUGACCGUAUGUUUAUUUCAGUCCCAUCCUCCUCUUUCUUGAGUAAUCCACGUCCUCCUUCUCAUGCCACAUUGCCACGCCACUGCAAAUUCGAACCACGGCCGGGCGCACGGACUCGCUCGCUUGGUGAACAACGGCAUUGGUGUCUUCUCGAAGACCACUCGGUAGUAAGCAUGUCCUCCCAAAGCUCUCGCUGACCAACCACUCAGAUCAUCAGGGCCGGAUGGAUGGACACGAAGAGCUAGCUGAUCAGUGUUUACCAUCAUACUACUGCUCGCUAUCAUUCAUUCGAUCUCAAUCGUCCGGGUCUUUGGGGAUAAGUUGGGAUGGAACCAGUGAGGUACGAUGAUAAAGUACUAGGAUAGGAUCAUAGGAAUGAUACAUCGCUCCUAGCUUGUUCCGGGUUCGGUGAGUAACCGACCAUUUUCGCAGAAUUAAUUUUUCAGAGGCACGCAGAGGAGUUAGACAGCGAUCGAGUUCGGUAGUUAGUGCUACUAUGUAUGAUAUCACUAUAACAGGGGGAGAUUAAAAGGAGGCGAGGGACCGAUGGAAUUAGGUCUAUCGGUUAUCAAGUAGUAGGCCGUAGCUCUUUCCUGGUUCAUUCUUGAGAUAUGUUAAUUAAGAACUGAACGAACCCUUGCACUACGUGAAGCGCACAGCAGCCGCCGCGGAUAAUUUACCUAGUGACGGCAGCAGAAAUUAUACGCGUUGGAAGCUCGUUACGUGGGUGCGUGCGUUAUUCGUCUCAUCUUUUGGAUCGGAUUACGGCAGCUAGCGCGUGCAGCCGUCACCAAAUUUAAUUAGGUUCUUUUUUUCGAAAAGGCCAAGUUCAUAUAUUAAAAUCAACCAACUCUUACAGAACCAUCUUUAAAAAGAAAAAGAAACAAGCAAGUUCUUGUAGGUAAACGUCGUUGUCUUCCUCCUCGCUCGCCGGUGGCGUGCUGUGAGCGAAGCUCGAUGCUGCCUCUGGACUUUCGAACCACGUCGGAGUCAGGAAACCAUUAUUGACGUAGCAGUCAGGAAGUCGCCGGUCGGAGCCAGAAGACGCCGGCAACAGUGAUUUGAGAAGACCAUCCCAGAUCUGGCCAGACAGAUCCGAGAAGACCUGACUGCACUAAUUCCACGAUGAGGUCGAAGCUGGCCGAGUCUCAUCGAUCGGAAAAGGAACCAAUAAAUCGAUACGCGUAGACGACCUGCAAAGCACAAACACAGAACCAGUCCCACCACUCCAGAAGAGUAGCGACCAACCGUCCCGCACUCCUCAACGCGCCGUCGACGAGGUGGAUGAGGAGUCAGGAAAACCUUAUUAUUGACCCGCGCAGUGCCGCCAUGCAUCACCACCAUAGGUCCAUAGUUAGGCUGCCGAUUAACCAAACCCUAAUUUUUAAAGACAUAAUAAAGCACUAAACAUAGAAGAAGCAGUGAGAUGGUUCCCCGGCCGGCCGGCGGCCGGGACACGAGAUCGAUCUGUAACUGGCGGUGGGUGGCGUCCAGGCCAGGAGCCUUUUUUUUCGUUCGGUUGGAAAAAGACGGGUAUUUAAUUAGGUUCUUGCCAUGCGCUAGCUAAGCUUCAAACAUGAAACAGAGCUAAGAUGUUUUAGAUAUUACUUUUUCAUAGAAAGAACAAAAGCAAGUAUCUUGCUUUCUUCCGUGUAAACCGGCCUUCGUCGAAAUGCCACUCCCCGUUCCACGGACAUGGUAUCUCAUAGGCGCUGCUCGUGUGCACUCUUCUGUUUGUUUAUGUCUGCAGGCACGGAAAAUCGGCUAAAGCGAAGAUUUCGGGGGACCACACAGAAGCCUCCCCUGGGACUAAAAACUGAAGAGAAAGAGCGUUGCAGCAUUGGAAGGAUGCGGUGCCGGGUGUUACCGGGCACGCCUGCCUGGUGCGUCGUCGAUCCAGCCAGUCGCUGGCAGAUCCCAGCAGUCAAAUGUGAAGACAUAUGCAGCGCUGCACGCGCGGAUGGCCGGCAUCAGGGCUAUCGGCAAUAGAGGAUCAGUAGCUUGAGGACGUGGUACGUUUGAAACUAUGAACGCAUACAUUGCAACCUAGCUGCGGGGAAUUGAAAGAAAGAGACGGGAGAGGAAACUUGGGGUCCAGGGCAGCGGAUCGAUCGAUUGCACAUCUCCCUGCCUGCGUACCGGGCUGCCCCGGGUGGCACCUUCUCUGCACGACCACGUACCUCUAUCUAGGCCGUAACUCGGCCAGGCCGGCAGGCCAGGGCGGGAUCUAGAUGCUAGAGGAGAGGAUGCAAUCGAUCGAGAGACACACAUCGUACGGGCACAUCUAUGGAAGCUAUAGAUCGGUAUCGUGCACACACACUGCAGACAUAGCACGCCUUGGUUCAUCUAGAAAGUCUUAAUUUUACAACGACGAGGGCGAGGGCGACGACGGAACAAUUGACGACCACAUAGCAGAAAGGAUGGUCUUCCGAUGCGACGGGUAAAGUUGUCAUUCGCGCGGAACAAAAUGUUACAUCUUCACGGAUCAAAUUCGUCACCUUCAUAGAACUAAAGUUGUCACCGUGCAAGACACACGUGACGCAAUCACAGACAGAGAGUUUUUAUGAUCGGAUGGCCAACGAUGCGUUCGUUAUGGAAGACUAAAGAACGAACGUUCGUUCCAUUAUAAAUUCAGUAUAAUAUGAAUACCUUAAUUUCCCGAUAAAAAGUAUAUUUCCAUUUUGCAUGCCUGGAUUAAUUAGCUAGCUAGCAUCAGUACUGUCCUUCAUAGAUAAGAAGAAGAAAAAGGAGAGCUAAGUAGCUAACGGCACGAUGGUUCAGAUAUAACUAACCGACAGUGUAAUCAACAAGAUGGAUCCAUCGAUCAAAUCAAUUGAGCGACUAACGUGCUAUAUUCCUGCAAAUUACCCGUUUCACUAUCACGCACACAAAACAACACGAUGUUCUCAUCUCCACGUUGCAGUGGUGGCACUCGCUCUGUCCGCGUUAGACACAGACCGCCAGCAGCAGCAGCUUAAUUAAUACUCUUACGUACUAGGUAAAUGACUUGUACCUCUCCAAUUCGUACAUUCACCGGUCACAAGUCACCGGGUCGCUGCUGGACACAUGGACAAUGCUUAGGGGUGCAGCUGGGACGGGCUCGUCCCGCCCGCACAGCCGUAGCCAUACUAUGCGGGAUGCUGGUUGCUGCCCGCGUCUCGCGAGACGUGAUCCCGCUGGGAUAAGUGGGUUCGGCAGUCUCGGCACGUUUGUCCCGCAAAAACCUGCAUGGGUGUUGUACUUUGUUUGCUAAUCGAUAUGCAUGCAGUCCGUCCGCAUUGCUGCUGCGCACUGCUGCUGUGUGAACUCACGGGAGUCCUCUUUCCAUGUCCGCAUCAAUGCCGUGAGGUGCAGUGCCGUUGGGGUACACUUGAUUGCAGAACAUAUAGAGCAGAUCUUCAGAUAUAAUUGCAGACCAAAAACAUUGUAGGAAAUGGUUUACAGACAUCAUGUCCUUUCUUUUAAUUUCAAAACAAAAUUGAAGUCUCGCAUGGUUGAAUGGAACGGAGAGAGUACUGAUUUUACCCAACGUCUAUAUAUAAAAACACUCAGAUUACAAGAACCUCAGCGGGGACAAAUCUAUAAGCUCUAAUCAAAACACUCCAUAAAAGAAAAUAUAAGUGCAGAUGAAGUUAAUGAAUCAAUUUUACCCCGCAGCUGCUAUGUCAAUUUGGUCCCAGAUUGUGAGGAGAGAAGGGGGGGAUAUGUACCAUAAAGAGCCGAGAGCUGAGGUUGAACACCAGAGCAGUCGCGGACGAGGAUGGGGAGUGCCAGGUUCAAGGCUUCAAGUGCGCGCGAGCAGCAGCACCAAGAAAUCGAGAUGAACAGGAUUGGGGAGAGGUCGGGAGAGUGCUAGACCAAGACAGAUGUCCAGCGGGACGUGCGGGUAUCCCGCUGGACUAAACAGGCCGGCCCAGUUACGUCUAUACGGGAUAUGCGGGCUCGUCCCGUUACAACUAAACGUGCGAAGUUCACGGGACGGGACGGGGCACAAACGCCAGACCCGUCCCACUUGCACCCCUAACAAUGCUACAGUGCUUGCAGAAACAGUCGUCGCUCGCUGCUAACCUAGGAUCUCUAUUUGAGGACCGCCGAUACGCCCGAUCGAUCGAAAUCGAGUCACGUACGUAGUCCACCAGAAAAAUAAAAUCUGCAACAAAAUAUUUGCGGACUCGUCGGCCUCGUAUCAACGCCGGAACAAUCCCCGGCUGGAGACGGCAGGAGCCAAAACCAUCUUCCUCCCACGUCGUGUCCCCGUUUCCCUCUGUCUCCAUCCCGAUCCACGCCAGCAACCGGUAGAUUUUUCGGCUUUUACUUUUGGGCAGUCUUCGGAUACGUCGAGCGAACGUGGGGUCGGCCUGGGUCCCUGCCUGCAGCCACGCGGCGUCUCGACGCGGUCCUUCCGCGGUCCGAUCUUGUCGUUGGAUUGGAUUGACCCCCUCGCAUUCGCAUCACGGCUGACGCAGGCCAUUUUCACCCGCGCGGAUUGUUUUUUUUGACGGGACCCGCGCGGAAAUUGGACCUUUGUGCUUGUGUAGGAACUGUCUGUCAAUGGGCUCGAAGCCCGUUAACAUAAAAAGGCCCCUCCCUGUACGUGCUGAACCUCCCUGCCUGCGGGGAGAACAAGACAAGACAGCGAUCGAGUUGGGUAUAUCCAGAGGAAACAAAGAAGGUGAGAAUUAGGUAUCGGUUCUCGGUUCUCAAUUGCUCGAGUUGAUACUUGAUAUACGUAGUAACUGGAGCACACGACGAAGCUACAGCUAUUUCCUGGCUCAUUCCUGAGAGAUGUUAACGAACACAAGAAACCAAAAAAUCCACGCAGUCCUGAACCAACACCUCCACUCAGCUCGAACGCACUGCAGCAGCCGCCGCCGCGAAUUAUACAGAGAACAUGCCUGCCUAGUGACAGCAACAGGUAUAUAUCAUAGUCGUGGGUGCGCGCGUGUCAGCUAGCCCUUUUAGGAUAGAUAGGUUUACAUGCAUCCGUCACCAAGCUUUUUUGUCAGAUGAGCUAAUCAGCCUCUUGGUUUUCUUUUCCCCCCACUCCGUGGAAACGAACAUUUUCAUAAUAGCGCUAGUACUGUAUUAAGCAGUGAUCGAUGGUGUCAACUAAAGUGAUCUGGUCGUAUAUAAAUUCGUGAGGAAUAAUUAUACAUUUAUACUCGUAGCUCGGACAGUCGGACUAAAGGGGUACAGUUGCAGCUAGUGUUAGUCAGCAAUUUCAAAACCAAGCAGCUUUUACUUGUUUGAAACAAGUGUCGUAGUAUUGGAAGGACUUGGCGCGGGGUUGUGCCCGGGCACAUCUCCCUGGUGCGUCGUCGAUCCAGUCGUUGCCGGGCACGGGGUGAAACCGGACAAACAAAUCUGUCAGUGUAUCAGCUAACGAUACGACAGUACGUAGACUGUUUUCCCCCCUCCAAAAAAGAGGCAGAGGACUUGCUAUAGACGCCUUACGCUCAGAGGGCAACAGUUAACGCAUACAUAGCUAUUCUGUACGACAUGCUCCUGAUCACUCAAACACAAAUGCCAGACAUAGCUAUUCUGACCGACGAAAAUAGCAUGAUGCGUUGUCAACUUGUUAUUUGGCGCGAGGACUUGCUCCUGAUCAGGACAGGCGAUCCACGUACGUUAGGGAUCAAUCGAAGAUCCUGAUCACGAAAACGUGACCUCUCGAUCGGGGGGAACAUCAUGCUCACAGGCCAGUCGCGGCUGCCCCGGGUCGCGCCCUCCCCGCGCCAAACCCCGUCCGGACAACCUUUGCAAAGGUCCAUCCAUCCAUCAGCGAGGUGUAUGUUAUGGCUGGCUCUCUCUGCUCCAAUGGAUUCAGAACCAGGCCCGUCACGACUCACAAGUCAUCGGAGUAACCGCUGGAGAGAAUAAUGUAUGCAGUGUAAACCAUCCAGACGAAUAGACGAUCAUCGCUGCUACCGAGAGCCUGCAUCGCGACCGAUCGCCAUAGGAGCCAGAUCGAGUAAUAACUCCACCUACGACCACGAGAAAUCUCGACCGAUAUUUCCGGACUCGGCAGACUCGUAUCAACGCGGGAACAUACAAUUCAUCCCGGCGGCGAGGACUCCGAUCGGAAGCUAGCGGCGGCGCACGACACGACAGGAGCCAGAGCAUCGACUUCCUCCUCCGUCCAAGAGCAACGGCAGUAGAUUCGGUUUAUACUUUUUCGGUGGUCCGGAAUUCCCGGAUGCGUCGGGCGACGGUGGGGCCCUGCCCGGGUCCCGCUUCCUGACACGCGGCAUCUCGACGCGGUCCCGCCGCGGAUCCUUCUCCUUGGAUCUCUUGCUCCCCAUCACGGAAGGCCAUUUUCGCCAGGGACUCACGCGCGCCCCUUUUUCCUUUUGCGAGGCUGCCAAGGUGGGUCCUCCUUUUUAUACGGAGCAUAAAAAUGCCCCGUCUGUCUUUUCGUAUCGGUUGCUUGCUUUGUUCUUUGGCUCUCCGUUGCUUCCGCCGCUCGAUCUCGUCUGGAUGGCGCGCGUUAAUUCGAUCGCGCGGGCACGGACGAACUUUGCGUGUCAAACAGAAAAUAAGACAUGAACUUUGUAAUCGCAGCCUGCAGGUGGUUUUUUUGUUUUUCUUUUCCUCCCGUGCGGAUACGCGUCGAAUAUGUUGACUACCUUUUCUUGUAGCCUGAGUACGCUUCUAGGUGUUUUUUUAACAUACGAAAACAUUGCCUUCGUUUUUUUAAUGAGCUAUACGUGCCAGACACGAGUUUUUCUAAAAAUACAUUGAUAUUACUGUUUUUUUUCCAACAUUGACAUGAACACUUACUAUCAAUAUAUAUGUCAUGGUACACAUUGGAGGCCCUUCAAAGCCGCAUUGUCUAGUUAAGCAUUUCUUUUUGGCAAGGAUACAUUCAGAAUCGACAUCGGUUCUUCGACUUCUGUCUUUCAAUCGACGUAGGACAUGUCAGCCACACAAAGACAGGUGCCAUGAGUUAGGGAAUCAGUGUUCGUUCAUAACUUGGUACACGUCCCCACCAAAAGCUGAUUAUAUGGAAUCAGAGGACGAGCCUGGAACAUCUGCGGUAGUGUCACUUUAAACCCUAUCCUCUCCACCGCCCGCAAAAAUCCAGCAGGAAAUCGCAUCAACCAACCAAUCGGAAUUCUCGUCAGCCGAGGGCAAGAAAGAAGCCGAGAUAGAGUGAGAAAAGGGGAACGAACCAUUUCCCCCGCAAUUCAAAGCUCCUUAUCCCAUUCUCCGUGUGUCACCAAAGAAGAAAAAAAAUGCCUUCGUUUUCCUUCGCCCCUCAAGACGACGAACGGCGCCCAGCGUUGAGCGCGGCCAAAACAUACGAGCGGUGGGGAAGAAAGCGAAACCGUUAGAUAAAUGCUUGGUUCACGCGCACUGGCCACGGUUUACCGACGCCUGGACCCCGCCGGCUCUGGGGCCGCACGAUGCUGUGAUUCUGGGGUGCGUGUGUGUGGUGCGACGCGACCGACCCGGCGGGCGGGGUCGCGAACCCCAGAGGCGCGCAUUGAAGCGCAUACAAAGCCAGGCACAAGUCCGAUCUGGGCUGAACGACCGACGGGCCCAGCGGCAGCGCAACGGAACAAGGGAGGGAUCAAAGAACGUGAGUGAGGGGGCUUUUGAAUGAACGGAGGGAUUCAACAACCACCACUCGAGUGAGUCAUGUGCCUCGUGACUGUGAGAGUCUGUGCGCGCGGGCCGGAGAGAGAACCAAAGCCAACAAAGGGGAUGGGUCGCAAUUAACGGGUCCUGUCCACGACCCAACCAAAGCCAACAACCGCCACGCAAGUCAGGAGGAGCCACGAGGGUGCUUCUUCUGCCCCUUGGUUUUUCAACCACGACCUCCCGGAGCGUCUGACGCGUGGGGCCACGGCGGCCGGGGGUCAAACCGCACCUACUACGGCUUUGCCAAAUUGCCAUUUCGCGCUCCGGCGCCAGCCAGCCAAAGAGGAAGACGGGAGACACUAGCUUACGCUUUCGCGGACGCCACCAACACAGAACAAAUUGGGCCCCACGGGCCGGGGCAGCGGGCCUCCUAUAAAAGCGGCGGGGCGCACGGCCGUAACCCUCACAACGGUGACCAAGCGCUCAUCUCCCUCUCCCAUCUCUCGUUUCCAACCGCUCGCUCCGUCCCUCCGAUCAACCAGCCAAAUCCCGAUCGAGGAAGAACACAACGAACAAACCCUAGCGUAGCCGCCGCAGCCGAAGGCUUCCGAAAAUCUCCUUCCUGACCGCCGGCGUGGGGCGACUAGCCUCCACCACCGGCGACGACACCCUCCCCGCCGCGCGCGCCCAACCCGACUGCUCCGUUUGCGGGGGUAGCCGGGGCUCCGGCCUCGGCGGCUUUCUAAGCCCCCUUCCUUACAACAGGAUCCAAAAUCCCGUCCUAGAUUUCUUCUACCUCCCCUUCCAGAACUUCCUCUUUUGGCAUCAGUGAUACGCCGAUCUCGAUUUAUUUUUCUUUCGAUUUCUUUUUCUUCUUCUUCUUGUUGUUCAUCUCGAUCGAAUAGCACCACCGCCGCCUUCAACACCAGAUUUUUUCUGUUCAUUUCGCCUGAUUUUCUUCCGCCGCUAACACCCACCGAGACAUCGUAAACAGAUUUACAGCACAGAGAAACCAGAAAAAAACUUCGCAGCAGUAGCAAACUUUUUUUUUUAUUCUUCUUCUUCC